AAGUUAGCGGCGGACGGGUGAGUAACACGUGGGUAACCUGCCCAUAAGACUGGGAUAACUCCGGGAAACCGGGGCUAAUACCGGAUAACAUUUUGCACCGCAUGGUGCGAAAUUCAAAGGCGGCUUCGGCUGUCACUUAUGGAUGGACCCGCGUCGCAUUAGCUAGUUGGUGAGGUAACGGCUCACCAAGGCAACGAUGCGUAGCCGACCUGAGAGGGUGAUCGGCCACACUGGGACUGAGACACGGCCCAGACUNNNACGGGAGGCAGCAGUAGGGAAUCUUCCGCAAUGGACGAAAGUCUGACGGAGCAACGCCGCGUGAGUGAUGAAGGCUUUCGGGUCGUAAAACANNNUANUCUGUUGUUAGGGAAGAACAAGUGCUAGUUGAAUAAGCUGGCACCUUGACGGUACCUAACCAGAAAGCCACGGCUAACUA
Molecule: ribosomal RNA, 436 nt
Filed under: Bacillus pseudomycoides
Lineage: Bacteria; Bacillati; Bacillota; Bacilli; Caryophanales; Bacillaceae
Description: bacterial SSU rRNA
Rfam family: Bacterial small subunit ribosomal RNA
Source: RNAcentral